RNAcentral lists this ribosomal RNA (543 nucleotides) under Michajlovia turdi. RNAcentral's name for it is "SSU rRNA". It matches the Rfam family "Eukaryotic small subunit ribosomal RNA", at positions 203 to 725 of the family's 1831-position model. The record is from RNAcentral. Lineage: Eukaryota; Metazoa; Platyhelminthes; Trematoda; Strigeidida; Panopistidae.
GGAUUUAUUAGAACAGAACCAACCGGGGAUAGUUUCGGCUGUCCCUGUUGUACUCUGUGAUGACUCUGGAUAACUUCACUGAUCGCAGUCGGCCUUGUGUCGGCGACGGAUCUUUCAAAUAUCUGCCCUAUCAACUGUCGAUGGUAGGUGACCUGCCUACCAUGGUGAUAACGGGUAACGGGGAAUCAGGGUUCGAUUCCGGAGAGGGAGCCUGAGAAACGGCUACCACUUCCAAGGAAGGCAGCAGGCGCGAAAAUUACCCACUCCCGGCACGGGGAGGUAGUGACGAAAAAUACGAAUACGGGACUCAAUUGAGGCUCCGUAAUUCGAAUGAGUACACUUUAAAUCCUUUAACGAGGACCAAUUGGAGGGCAAGUCUGGUGCCAGCAGCCGCGGUAACUCCAGCUCCAAAAGCGUAUAUUAAAGUUGCUGCAGUUAAAAAGCUCGUAGUUGGAUCUGGGUCGUGUGGCCACAUACCGUUGCUCGUUCUACUGUCUUGAUUACGAUCGAGACGGGAGUACGGGUCGGUGUAGUGACCGUGCA